UUCAACCUACGGGGGGCAGCAGUGGGGAAUAUUGCGCAAUGGGCGAAAGCCUGACGCAGCGACGCCGCGUGAGGGAUGAAGGUCUUCGGAUCGUAAACCUCUGUCAGCAGGGAAGAACGGUCACUGUGCUGAUCAGCAGUGAAUUGACGGUACCUGCAAAGGAAGCACCGGCUAACUCCGUGCCAGCAGCCGCGGUAAUACGGAGGGUGCGAGCGUUAAUCAGAAUUACUGGGCGUAAAGCGCUCGUAGGCGGGAUGUCAAGUCAAGGGAGAAAU
This 275-nucleotide ribosomal RNA is filed under the name uncultured bacterium. RNAcentral describes it as "partial 16S ribosomal RNA". It matches the Rfam family "Bacterial small subunit ribosomal RNA", at positions 331 to 600 of the family's 1533-position model. The record is from RNAcentral.